ACUCCUACGGGAGGCAGCUGUUAGGAAUAUUGGUCAAUGGGCGGGAGCCUGAACCAGCCAAGUAGCGUGAAGGAUGACUGCCCUAUGGGUUGUAAAAUUCUUUUAAUUGGAAUAAAGUUUAGCACGAUGGAA
This 132-nucleotide ribosomal RNA is filed under the name uncultured Bacteroides sp. RNAcentral's name for it is "partial 16S ribosomal RNA". It matches the Rfam family "Bacterial small subunit ribosomal RNA", at positions 335 to 477 of the family's 1533-position model. Lineage: Bacteria; Pseudomonadati; Bacteroidota; Bacteroidia; Bacteroidales; Bacteroidaceae. The record is from RNAcentral.